RNAcentral lists this ribosomal RNA (967 nucleotides) under Crex crex (corn crake). Its description in RNAcentral is "partial 16S ribosomal RNA". It matches the Rfam family "Bacterial large subunit ribosomal RNA", at positions 848 to 2521 of the family's 2925-position model. The record is from RNAcentral. Lineage: Eukaryota; Metazoa; Chordata; Aves; Gruiformes; Rallidae.
GCUGGUUGCCCGUGAACGAAUAUAAGUUCUCCCUUAAUUUUACCCCUCAGACUCCACUACUCACUCGUAGCAAAUUAAGAGUAAUUUAAAGGAGGUACAGCUCCUUUAAAACAGAACACAACCUUUCCCAGAGGAUAAGCCAAAUAACUCUAAACUUUGUAGGCCUUUAAGCAGCCACCAACAAAGAAUGCGUCAAAGCUCACCGUACUAAAAAAUAAUAAACCUCAUGCGACUCCCUCAUCCAUAACGGGCUAACCUAUUAAAAUAGGAGCAUCAAUGCUAAAAUAAGUAACUAAGGAGCCACCUUCUAAAGCACAAACUUACAUCCUACAUUAUUAACAGAUCUAUUAAUAACCUAACCAUCACAAGACCAACUAUUAAAUACUCUGUUAAACCAACCCAGGAGUGCUUAAAUAGAAAGAUUUAAACCUGUAAAAGGAACUAGGCAAACCCAAGGCCCGACUGUUUACCAAAAACAUAGCCUUCAGCAAAACACCAAGUAUUGAAGGUGACGCCUGCCCAGUGACACUAAGUUUAACGGCCGCGGUAUCCUAACCGUGCAAAGGUAGCGCAAUCAAUUGUCUCAUAAAUCGAGACUUGUAUGAAUGGCCAAACGAGGUCUUAACUGUCUCUUACAGGUAAUCAGUGAAAUUGAUCUCCCCGUGCAAAAGCAGGGAUAAAUCCAUAAGACGAGAAGACCCUGUGGAACUUAAAAACCAGCAGCCACUCCACAAACAAACAAAGCCCAACGGGCCUACUACUAAUAGAGAAUUGACUUGCAUUUUUCGGUUGGGGCGACCUUGGAGAAAAACACAUCCUCCAAAAAUAAGACCAUCCCUCUUAACCAAGAUUAACUACUCAAAGUGCUAACAGCAACCAGACCCAGCAUAGCUGAUCAAUGAACCAAGCUACCCCAGGGAUAACAGCGCAAUCCCCUUCAAGAGCCCAUAUCGACAGGGGGGUUUAC